This is a long non-coding RNA of Schistocerca serialis cubense, 523 nucleotides long. RefSeq lists it as uncharacterized. The record is from RefSeq and is a predicted model, not a curated record. Lineage: Eukaryota; Metazoa; Arthropoda; Insecta; Orthoptera; Acrididae. The transcript is spliced from 3 exons.
GGCGGCAGCAGUUCUGUGCGCUGCAGGCUUCACCCAAUCCCUGCAAACCGUCCGUUGUUUUCCCUCUGUUCAACGGCUGAGCACCGCCAUGACGCGGGGUUCUAAUGGGCCUAGGAGUGGUGGGCAGUUAUGGCUGGGUCUUCGAAUGUUACAGUAAUUUUGUCAUCUGGCUUAUCACCACCUUCUGCCUCAUCACCACUUUCUACUUAAUCAUCAGCUCCUGCCUCAUCACCAGCCUCCUCAUCAAGAGCUGCAGUCAGACCACAACUUGGGAAAUCAACGAAGAGAUAAAUAAGUGAGCAGGGUGUUCUUGGCAAAGCAUAAUACUUCAAAACGAGACAGCAAACAGAGGAGGCGAUUGCAAAAGUCUGGUGCAGGAAACUGAAAGCAAUAUGCUUCUCCAGGACUGAUUGAGACCAGAGCAACAAAUAACAUCCCUACACACCCAGAAGAGAGAGCAUCAGGUAAAAUCAGGACAAAAAAAACAAAAUCUGUUCCUCAAACAGCAAGGCAAAGACACAAG